AUGAACGCUAGCGGCAGGCUUAACACAUGCAAGUCGAGCGCUACCUUCGGGUGGAGCGGCGGACGGGUUAGUAACGCGUGGGAAUAUACCCAGUUCUAAGGAAUAGCCACUGGAAACGGUGAGUAAUACCUUAUACGCCCUUCGGGGGAAAGAUUUAUCGGAAUUGGAUUAGCCCGCGUUAGAUUAGAUAGUUGGUGGGGUAACGGCCUACCAAGCCUACGAUCUAUAGCUGGUUUUAGAGGAUGAUCAGCAACACUGGGACUGAGACACGGCCCAGACUCCUACGGGAGGCAGCAGUGGGGAAUCUUGG
This 310-nucleotide ribosomal RNA is filed under the name uncultured Rhodobacterales bacterium. RNAcentral's name for it is "SSU rRNA". It matches the Rfam family "Bacterial small subunit ribosomal RNA", at positions 29 to 367 of the family's 1533-position model. The record is from RNAcentral. Lineage: Bacteria; Pseudomonadati; Pseudomonadota; Alphaproteobacteria; Rhodobacterales.